GACGAACCGUGCGAACGUUGUUCGGAAUCACUGGGCGUAAAGAGCGUGUAGGCGGCCAGAUAAGUCCGCUGUGAAAUCUCGAGGCUCAACUUCGAGCUGUCGGUGGAAACUAUCUGGCUAGAGUCCGGAAGAGGAGAAUGGAAUUCCUGGUGUAGCGGUGAAAUGCGCAGAUAUCAGGAAGAACACCCGUGGCGAAGGCGGUUCUCUGGGACGGUACUGACGCUGAGACGCGAAAGCGUGGGGAGCGAACAGG
RNAcentral lists this ribosomal RNA (253 nucleotides) under uncultured bacterium. RNAcentral's name for it is "partial 16S ribosomal RNA". It matches the Rfam family "Bacterial small subunit ribosomal RNA", at positions 524 to 776 of the family's 1533-position model. The record is from RNAcentral.